This 223-nucleotide ribosomal RNA is filed under the name uncultured bacterium. RNAcentral's name for it is "partial 16S ribosomal RNA". It matches the Rfam family "Bacterial small subunit ribosomal RNA", at positions 95 to 334 of the family's 1533-position model. The record is from RNAcentral.
UUGGCGGACGGGUGAGUAACGCGUAAGAACCUGCCCUUGGGAGGGGGACAACAGCUGGAAACGGUUGCUAAUACCCCAUAGGCUGAGGAGCAAAAGGAGGAAUCCGCCCAAGGAGGGGCUUGCGUCUGAUUAGCUAGUUGGUGAGGCAAUGGCUUACCAAGGCGACGAUCAGUAGCUGGUCUGAGAGGAUGAUCAGCCACACUGGGACUGAGACACGGCCCAG